RNAcentral lists this RNase P RNA (345 nucleotides) under Candidatus Omnitrophota bacterium. RNAcentral's name for it is "Candidatus Omnitrophica bacterium RNase P RNA component class A". It matches the Rfam family "Bacterial RNase P class A". Rfam says of the family: Ribonuclease P (RNase P) is a ubiquitous endoribonuclease, found in archaea, bacteria and eukarya as well as chloroplasts and mitochondria. Its best characterised activity is the generation of mature 5'-ends of tRNAs by cleaving the 5'-leader elements of precursor-tRNAs. Cellular RNase Ps are ribonucleoproteins. Lineage: Bacteria; Pseudomonadati; Candidatus Omnitrophota. The record is from RNAcentral.
AGAACAAACCGGAUGGUCGCUGCACAGCCAAAAGCUGUGUAGAGGAAAGUCCGAGCUCCAUAGGACAGCGUAGUGGGUAAUACCCACCCUUGCAUACUUUGUAUGUGGGCGGAUUAGAGCAGCAGUGACGAUAUCUCGAUAAGCCUGGGGUUUACCCCGAGCGAAGUCGAGGGGUGAAACGUGGCAAUCUCUGCGCGGAGCAAGACCAAAUAGGAGGAGGGCUGUCCGCCUGUUAUUUCUCGGGUUAGGUCGCAAGGAUCCUGUAGAGUAAUUUACAGGACAAGAUAAAUGAUCAUCGUCCCGCUUUGCGGGAUACAGAACUCGGCUUAUAGGUUUGUUCUCCCU